This 460-nucleotide ribosomal RNA is filed under the name uncultured bacterium. RNAcentral's name for it is "partial 16S ribosomal RNA". It matches the Rfam family "Bacterial small subunit ribosomal RNA", at positions 338 to 795 of the family's 1533-position model. The record is from RNAcentral.
CCUACGGGUGGCAGCAGUGAGGAAUAUUGGUCAAUGGACGAGAGUCUGAACCAGCCAAGUAGCGUGAAGGAUGACUGCCCUAUGGGUUGUAAACUUCUUUUAUAUGGGAAUAAAACGUUCCACGUGUGGGAUUUUGUAUGUACCAUAUGUAUAAGGAUCGGCUAACUCCGUGCCAGCAGCCGCGGUAAUACGGAGGAUCCGAGCGUUAUCCGGAUUUAUUGGGUUUAAAGGGAGCGUAGGUGGAUUGUUAAGUCAGUUGUGAAAGUUUGCGGCUCAACCGUAAAAUUGCAGUUGAAACUGGCAGUCUUGAGUACAGUAGAGGAGGGCGGAAUUCGUGGUGUAGCGGUGAAAUGCUUAGAUAUCACGAAGAACUCCGAUUGCGAAGGCAGUUCACUGGACUGCAACUGACACUGAGGCUCGAAAGUGUGGGUAUCAAACAGGAUUAGAUACCCCGGUAGUC